RNAcentral lists this ribosomal RNA (235 nucleotides) under Chloroflexota bacterium. RNAcentral's name for it is "Chloroflexi bacterium partial 16S ribosomal RNA". It matches the Rfam family "Bacterial small subunit ribosomal RNA", at positions 1301 to 1533 of the family's 1533-position model. The record is from RNAcentral. Lineage: Bacteria; Bacillati; Chloroflexota.
CAGGCUGAAACCCGCCUGCAUGAACGCGGAAUCGCUAGUAACCGCAGGUCAGCAUACUGCGGUGAAUACGUUCCCGGGCCUUGUACACACCGCCCGUCACGUCAUGGAAGCCGAGAACGAUUGAAGUCGCUGAGCUAACCCGCAAGGGAGGCAGGUGCCGAGGUCGGGUUCGGUAACUGGGACGAAGUCGUAACAAGGUAGCUGUACCGGAAGGUGCGGCUGGAUCACCUCCUUU